This 408-nucleotide ribosomal RNA is filed under the name uncultured Prevotella sp. RNAcentral's name for it is "bacterial SSU rRNA". It matches the Rfam family "Bacterial small subunit ribosomal RNA", at positions 505 to 916 of the family's 1533-position model. The record is from RNAcentral. Lineage: Bacteria; Pseudomonadati; Bacteroidota; Bacteroidia; Bacteroidales; Prevotellaceae.
GUGCCAGCAGCCGCGGUAAUACGGAAGGUCCGGGCGUUAUCCGGAUUUAUUGGGUUUAAAGGGAGCGUAGGCCGCCCCUUAAGCGUGUUGUGAAAUGCGGGUGCUCAACAUCCGACUUGCAGCGCGAACUGGGGGGCUUGAGUGCGCCGAAAGUAGGCGGAAUUCGUGGUGUAGCGGUGAAAUGCUUAGAUAUCACGAAGAACUCCGAUUGCGAAGGCAGCUUACUGUAGCGCAACUGACGCUGAUGCUCGAAAGCGUGGGUAUCGAACAGGAUUAGAUACCCUGGUAGUCCACGCGGUAAACGAUGGAUGCUCGUUGUCGGCCUUUAUGGUCGGUGACCAAGCGAAAGCGUUAAGCAUCCCACCUGGGGAGUACGCCGGCAACGGUGAAACUCAAAUGAAUUGACGG